GGAUGGAUGUCUGAGCGGUUGAAGGAGUCGGUCUUGAGAACCGAAGUAUUUAUAGAAAUACUAGGGGUUCGAAUCUCUCUCCAUCCG
This 87-nucleotide transfer RNA is filed under the name Nicotiana sylvestris (wood tobacco). It matches the Rfam family "tRNA". Rfam says of the family: Transfer RNA (tRNA) molecules are approximately 80 nucleotides in length. Their secondary structure includes four short double-helical elements and three loops (D, anti-codon, and T loops). The record is from Rfam by way of RNAcentral. Lineage: Eukaryota; Viridiplantae; Streptophyta; Magnoliopsida; Solanales; Solanaceae. RNAcentral also lists the same sequence under 1 other name.